UACAAACACACAUCUGUCUAAAUCUAGAGA
RNAcentral lists this non-coding RNA (30 nucleotides) under Mus musculus (house mouse). The record is from RNAcentral. Lineage: Eukaryota; Metazoa; Chordata; Mammalia; Rodentia; Muridae.